GAUCCUGGCUCAGGAUGAACGCUGGCGGCGUGCUUAACACAUGCAAGUCGAACGAAGCACUUAAGAAUGAUUCUUCGGAUGAAUUUUUUUGUGACUUAGUGGCGGACGGGUGAGUAACGCGUGGGUAACCUGCCUCACACAGGGGGAUAACAGUUGGAAACGACCGCUAAUACCGCAUAACCCGCUAGGGUCGCAUGGCCCGGACGGAAAAGAUUUAUCGGUGUGAGAUGGACCCGCGUUGGGUUAGCUAGUUGGCAGGG
RNAcentral lists this ribosomal RNA (260 nucleotides) under uncultured bacterium. Its description in RNAcentral is "partial 16S ribosomal RNA". It matches the Rfam family "Bacterial small subunit ribosomal RNA", at positions 15 to 257 of the family's 1533-position model. The record is from RNAcentral.